UUUUCUCACAACCCUGUGAAAUGUAGCCUCAUAUUGAGAGUUUCUUCUGUGAAGAACUUGCCUAGAGCCAGCCACUGCAGCAGAGCUGUGGCCACCAGAAGAAGGACCCGAGCAGCCUCCUGCUGAUAUAACCUCAAUUUCCCACCAAGCCUGAGCAUUUCUGACAGCUGAAAGCAUUUACCAGCGGACUGCUGAGCACAUCAAGAUGGAUACAGUUCUCUUGCUGUUUGGACUGGGAGGGAAUUAACAUCUCCCCUGGAGGAAUCCAAUUGAGGCAGCUCAUCAGAGACUCACCAACCUGAGGCUGAGCAUCAGCAGUUAUUGGUACCUCUGGCACAGGCAGCUUUGGAUGAACACUGGAUCCCUGAAACUCCUGGGAGAGUCCUGCAUUGCCUGGGCUAGGAGUACAGUCUUCUCCUGAUGCUGACCAGGUGCACUGGAGUGAUGAGCUGCCAGAGGGUGGGGCACAGGACACCAGGGAUCAGCAAAGCCUUUUCUGCACCUCUCAUGCCACUGAAGAGCCAUCACUCCGAUCAGAAACUGAAAUCCUGCUUUGUGCUCCUCCAGUGUGGAAAUCUGUCAGCUCCUGUGACCCCUAUUACUGUAAUACCCGAGAACAUCACCUCUGGUCGUGCACUGAGCCUCGCAGUGUCUGAAGAAAGUUAGACUUGCAUUAAUAUUAUUUUCCUCUGUUCUGUAUGGAGAACUGAGGCACAGCCAGGUCAAGUGAUUCACCCAAAGGUGCUCUUUGAAAAGGAGCCCUGAUGCUGUACACACGUGCCCAGUCUUUGGCUGGUAUUUAAAACUGAGCCUUUUGAUUGCAGAAACGGCUUCAAGCAAGCCCCAAACACCCAACAGCAAGCCAGGUGACAGGGCACAAACCACAACCUUUGGCUCAAAAGCCAGCUGAGAGACUGAAGUGAGGAGGGAUUUAGAGUUUCAUCCCUGCUAGGCUGAGGGAGAUCGUGUGAGAGCUGCAGACUGGGGAAGGCAUGGAAAAUCCUGACCUGAACUUGGGGAAGAAAACAGCCUCACUUUCCUCAGAAGAAUCCACAGAGUAGAUCUUGCCACAGCAGAAGGAACAUGUGUCAUGGGAACAGCAGAGGCAAAAUGUGUCAUGGGAAAAAUCUUGACGGAUUCAGCCCAGGACGCGAAUAUGCAAAUGGAGACCGAAUUAAAUGCAAUCGAGCAAGAUAACACAUAUCCCAGCAAUGGAGAAAACUCACAGCACACUCGCAAAAAAGAUGGAGUUUAAAUCCAAGGAGGGGGGUCUGAGGAUGUAUAAGCAGUCCCCAGUGACUAAAUUUUAGCAGCAGUAUGAAAAUUUCCCCAAAAAAGGAGUCAGGAAAGUGUUGCAGGAAUCAAACAAGGAGUAACUGAAGUGCAAGGGCCCAUUACUGAGCUAAGUGGAAGAGGUGAAGAGGUGCCCCCAACACAGCAACAAAGCACAGAUACUAAUUAAUAUUAUAGUUUUUCUGCUAUUAAAAAGUCAUCCUGUGGCUCACUUCUGGAAUAAUGUAUAUUUUUUCUCUUCCUGGCCUGCUCUUCUGAAAGAGGGAUUUUCAAGAGUUGCUGGUUUCCAUCUCCAAAGUAGCUCAAUUUAGUUUCAGGGGAAAUGAAACUCUCAACUAGCUUCAUUUGUAAAAUCUUUGAAGAUGUGGGAAUGUCCUCUGGCUGUAAGGAGAGGGAGUGUGAUUCAGAGCCUGGUACAGAUAUAUAAAGGGGUUCAAUAUUUAAUUAAACAUAAUCUUCCUUGUGGCAUGAGUGACUGAGCUCUUUCAGGAAUAAAAGUCCUUGGGUUUUUAUUACAUUAUUCUGCAAUAUGUGACAACAGAAAACCUUUUGCAGGACUAUGCUGGCCCAGCACCUGCCUUCCCUGUAGCAGCACUUGCUGCCCUGCUGCUGCCAAGAGAACAUUUUUGGAGGUAAUAACUUUCUACUUUUACAUGAAAAAUCCAUCUCUCUGGGAUGUCAGAUGGCUCUGACACAUCUCCCUGACGCCUGGAAACUGUGGUUGCAGUCCCCACACCACUGGAGUGAGGAACCCACGGUGCUGCUCAGCACCACAGCCUGCCCUUAGCACCAAACACACAUUUUUCAGCUUAAAAAAAAACAGUAUAGAAAGGAGAAAAAAAUUUCAAGUUUUUGGGUGGUUAUUCUCUCCAGAGAGCAGGUGCCCUGAUCCUGCACCCACGGCUGAGCUCAGCAUGAGCAAAGGAGUUGUGCUGGGAGCGUGUGCGGGCAGAGGCUCUGAGGAUCUGGCUUUGCAAAGGGUCAAGACAAUCUCACUUAGGGCACCAGUCUGUUAGUUUUGUUCUCGUUUUUUUCUUUUUUUUUAAUAUAAAAGGAAAAGGACAGCAUUAGCUCUUUUCUGGAAGUGAUAUUCUGCUCUGUGCGAGGAAUGAGAGGAAGCUAGUUUAAAGGGAAAGGGUGCAAUGCAUCAGGCACAAGCCUAAGUAAUGCCAAGGUCUGCAGCUGGCUGGCCCACUUUUGUUUUUAAAUAUGUAAAAUGACUUCUAGAAGCAUGGAGUUUUAUUAUUUCAUCAAUUUCUGCCUUCCAUUGUUAACCAUUCAUGGCUGCCACCUACUCAACAAAAAUGAUGAAAGGAAAUAAUCCUUUUAGUAGAGAAAAGGUAAUUACUAAGCAGGAUGUAUACUGCUCCGAAAAGGUUUUCUGAUGAUAAAUCCAGUCCCCACAAGCCCCUGAUUCAGUGGGAUGUGCCCGUUCAGGUAUCCUUUGCAUCCUGACACAGUGGCCUUGGCUGGCACGUUCCCAUUCCUGGGAAGUGCCCUGCUGAGAACGGCGAGGGUUUUCAAGGAGAGGCAGCCAGGGCUGCAGACAGAGCACAGCAGUGCCCCAGUGAAUCUGGCCAGGGAUGUGAAGCACUCCUGGGUUCCCUGGGUUCCAGCAGGAGCCCUUGUGCUGUGCUGCCCAGGCGCUCAGAGCCGUCUACCAGCUCCACCCUUCCUCCCGCCUGCAAUUAGCACUUGCGGCGCUGCAAAGGGAGAUGAGAUUCUCUCGCUGUCCUCCCUCAGAGCUCGCUCGCACCUUCCCCACCGGGUGGGAACAUGUGCUGCGGGUUAGGAAACAUUCUCAUCGUGGAAUCGCAUUUGCAGCAAUCCUACCCCCCGCCGCCUGCUCGCUUCUGGCUAUCAGGCUCUGCUGCAGCUCGUGGUGGUGGUGAUGGACACGUGAACAGCAGAGCUCAGCACAGCUCCUGGUUCAGCAGAGCCUCAGAUCUCCAGGAUUCUCUUCAUUCCUCCUGGAAAUGUGUGAGCACAAACUGGGCCCAGUUUGUUCCACCCAGGGUAACUGGAGCUGGUUAUCCAGACUGAAGGUUAAGAAGACUGAAUAUGGUGGGUUUGUCCCAAAAUGAGCUCUAUUUACUUACCUGGAGGUGGGAUGACAUGGAAAUCAGCAAUGACAGCUGUAUUUCACAUCUGCAGUUCAGCUCUACCAUCACUGCCAGCAGUUGUGGUGUUACCAGGGAGCAGCAGCUUCCAUCUCAGGUAAAAACCUUCCAUACCCUGGAGACUCCUUGCCCAUAUUAAAGGUCUUGUUUACAGACAGGGAAACUGAGUCAAAGAGCAUUGAUCCAAGUCCUCAGAAAUCAGUGGCAGACCAUCCAGAGCCCCACUUCUCCAAUAACUUCUCCAGCUAUUACAAGCAGGAAGAAAGGGCAGGAGUGCUUUUAGGGGCAUAAUUGAAAUCAGAUGAAUCACUGGAAAUCUUCCUGUCCAUUCAGUGGGCUUCACAUGAUGAUUUCUAAUAGUCAAGACUCAAAUUAUUUAGGGUGCACUGCUGGGAGGAGGGAAUGAGGCAUGUAACUUGGGAAGCUCAGUCAUGGAGAGUCCUUUUGGAUGUGAAGCUGUAAAGCUUUAUAUGUACCUGGAGCAAAAAGUCUUUUUAUUUCCCUGUCAGCAUCUGCCUGUGAAAAGGAAAAAGAAAAGGCAGCCCAUUUGUGGAUGCUUUCUUGCUGCAACUCUGAAUUGGAAAUAUCUGUCCUUGAUUAAAGUGGGAAAUGCAAUUGCACAAGUCAUUAAUUAUUACUGAUAAACUGAAGUAGUGAUGGAGCCAAAUAAAAAUCUCCUGCCACUACAAUGGAAUUCUGGAAAAAACCCACAGACCUGGGUGCCUGCAUCCUAUUUUCAUUUCCUUUUUUGGGGGAAAAAAAUACGUGCCUGAACUGCUGGGUGUCCACCAGCACACGAUGGAUGCAGAGAGCUGAACUUUAUCCCCACAGACGGCAAAAAUCAGCAGCUCCCGGUGCCUGCCACACGUGACCAGCCCCAAUUAUGGCUCCUUGCACAUGACAUCAGUAUGCAAUGGAGGAUCUCACUUGUUUUUUUUUUGCCAGAGGCAAAUGAAUACAUUAGGCAGCAGCGAGGCGUGGGGCAGGCGGAUGCGGAACUCUGGGGUGAUUUGGAUUCCGAGCUCGCGUGGGGGUGUGAGCCAACCUCAGAAGUCAUUUUCACUGAUGCUGACACAUAAGGCUUCCCUCAGAGACCUGUCUAUCAAACUGCAACAUGCUAUGCAGAAAAAUUAGAUUACUCAUGCUACAAUAAAGAAGGAGGAGAUGACAAUGAUAGAGGAAAAAAAAGCCCCAAACCAGCUUCAAAAUAUAACAGCUUUUAUUAAAUGAAUAAAAAUCUGGUGAAUGGCAAAGUAUCCUAGAGACUUUUUAAAAUAAUUUUUUUAAAAUUUAUUUUACUUCUUGCAACCCAUUCCAAGGAGAGCUAGUUGGAAAGACCCUAUUAAUUCAGAUGGUGCCUCUGGAAAAAACAGCACUUUAUCAUGAUUGUCACACUACUGUACUUGUGAAAUAUCAUCCUAAAUAGUCAUUAUGAUUUUGCUGCUGGUUUUGCUGCAGUCAGCAGUAGGAUUUCCUUUGGCUUUGGUAAAAGCAGGAUCAGGCCCCCUUGCUCUCUCUCUCUCUAUGAAUUGCAAAUAGGUUGUUCACGUGUCAGCUCAGCAACCAGGCAAAGUUCACCCUGCUCAGUUCAAAGCAGCAAGAUGAAGCUCAGGGCAUUUCCUUCACGGUAUUUGCCGAGUUCCUCAGGUCUACAAAUGUGUUAAAGUGGUUUAAUACAGGAUCUGUAAAACAAACAUUAUGCAGCUAUGUUUGAACCUUUGUCCAAUAAAAUUCAUUUUUUUCAGAAGAAAAUACAAAGUAGUAAAACAUACUUGGUAAAGAAAAGAAAAGGCUAUGGGAAGCUUAGUAAAAUCCUA
Zonotrichia leucophrys gambelii is the source of this 5230-nucleotide long non-coding RNA. RefSeq lists it as uncharacterized. Lineage: Eukaryota; Metazoa; Chordata; Aves; Passeriformes; Passerellidae. The record is from RefSeq and is a predicted model, not a curated record. The transcript is spliced from 7 exons.